Molecule: unclassified non-coding RNA, 331 nt
Filed under: soil metagenome
Description: partial contains 5.8S ribosomal RNA, internal transcribed spacer 2, and large subunit ribosomal RNA
Rfam family: 5.8S ribosomal RNA (bases 1-120)
Source: RNAcentral
GAUGAAGAACGCAGCGAAAUGCGAUACGUAAUGUGAAUUGCAGAUUUCAGUGAAUCAUCGAAUCUUUGAACGCACAUUGCGCCCGCUAGUAUUCUGGCGGGCAUGCCUGUUCGAGCGUCAUUUCAACCAUCAAGCCCCCGGCUUGCGUUGGAGCCCUGCGGCUGCCGCAGGCUCCCAAAUCCAGUGGCGGGCUCGUCGUCGUACCGAGUGCAGUAAACAUCCUCGCUCAGGGAACGUGACGGGUUCUUGCCGUGAAACCCCCCACAUAUCAAGGUUGACCUCUGAUCAGGUAGGAAUACCCGCUGAACUUAAGCAUAUCAAAAGCGGAGGA